RNAcentral lists this ribosomal RNA (497 nucleotides) under uncultured bacterium. RNAcentral describes it as "partial 16S ribosomal RNA". It matches the Rfam family "Bacterial small subunit ribosomal RNA", at positions 28 to 507 of the family's 1533-position model. The record is from RNAcentral.
GAUGAACGCUGGCGGCGUGCCUAAUACAUGCAAGUCGAGCGAACAGACGAGGAGCUUGCUCCUCUGACGUUAGCGGCGGACGGGUGAGUAACACGUGGAUAACCUCCCUAUAAGACUGGGAUAACUUCGGGAAACCGGAGCUAAUACCGGAUAAUAUAUUGAACCGCAUGGUUCAAUAGUGAAAGACGGUUUUGCUGUCACGUAUAGAUGGAUCCGCGCCGCAUUAGCUAGUUGAUAAGGUAACGGCUUACCAAGGCGACGAGGCGUGGCCGACCUGAGAGAGGGAUCGGCCACACUGGAACUGAGACACGGUCCAGACUCCUACGGGAGGCAGCAGUAGGGAAUCUUCCGCAAUGGUCGAAAGCUUGACGGAGCAACGCCGCGUGAGUGAUGAAGGUCUUCGGAUCGUAAAGCUCUGUUAUUAGGGAAGAACAAAUGUGUAAGUAACUAUGCACGUCUUGACGGUACCUAAUCAAAAAGCCACGGCUAACUACGUG